RNAcentral lists this ribosomal RNA (478 nucleotides) under uncultured bacterium. RNAcentral's name for it is "partial 16S ribosomal RNA". It matches the Rfam family "Bacterial small subunit ribosomal RNA", at positions 28 to 523 of the family's 1533-position model. The record is from RNAcentral.
GACGAACGCUGGCGGCGUGCUUAACACAUGCAAGUCGAACGGAAAGGCCCUUCGGGGUACUCGAGUGGCGAACGGGUGAGUAACACGUGGGUGAUCUGCCCUGCACUUUGGGAUAAGCCUGGGAAACUGGGUCUAAUACCGAAUAGGACCACGCGCUUCAUGGUGUGUGGUGGAAAGCUUUUGCGGUGUGGGAUGGGCCCGCGGCCUAUCAGCUUGUUGGUGGGGUAAUGGCCUACCAAGGCGACGACGGGUAGCCGGCCUGAGAGGGUGACCGGCCACACUGGGACUGAGAUACGGCCCAGACUCCUACGGGAGGCAGCAGUGGGGAAUAUUGCACAAUGGGCGCAAGCCUGAUGCAGCGACGCCGCGUGAGGGAUGACGGCCUUCGGGUUGUAAACCUCUUUCAGCAGGGACGAAGCGCAAGUGACGGUACCUGUAGAAGAAGGACCGGCCAACUACGUGCCAGCAGCCGCAGUAA